Molecule: ribosomal RNA, 253 nt
Filed under: uncultured bacterium
Lineage: Bacteria
Description: partial 16S ribosomal RNA
Rfam family: Bacterial small subunit ribosomal RNA
Source: RNAcentral
UACGUAGGGGGCAAGCGUUGUCCGGAUUUACUGGGCGUAAAGAGCGUGUAGGCGGCCAAGCAGGUCCGUUGUGAAAACUGGAGGCUUAACCUCCAGACGUCGACGGAAACCGCGUGGCUAGAGUCCGGAAGAGGAGAGCGGAAUUCCUGGUGUAGCGGUGAAAUGCGCAGAUAUCAGGAAGAACACCAAUGGCGAAGGCAGCUCUCUGGGACGGUACUGACGCUGAGACGCGAAAGCGUGGGGAGCGAACAGG